UACGUAGGGACCAAGCGUUGUUCGGAUUUACUGGGCGUAAAGGGCGCGUAGGCGGCAAUUCAAGUCAGCUGUGAAAUCUCCGGGCUUAACUCGGAACGGUCAGCUGAUACUGCUUUGCUAGAGUGCAGAAGGGGCAAUCGGAAUUCUUGGUGUAGCGGUGAAAUGCGUAGAUAUCAAGAGGAACACCUGAGGUGAAGACGGGUUGCUGGGCUGACACUGACGCUGAGGCACGAAAGCGUGGGUAGCGAACGGG
This 253-nucleotide ribosomal RNA is filed under the name uncultured bacterium. RNAcentral describes it as "partial 16S ribosomal RNA". It matches the Rfam family "Bacterial small subunit ribosomal RNA", at positions 524 to 776 of the family's 1533-position model. The record is from RNAcentral.